GUACUGCUGAGGAGCCCCAUAAUAGGACGAAACGAACGUCCAGUGC
Molecule: non-coding RNA, 46 nt
Organism: Schistosoma margrebowiei
Lineage: Eukaryota; Metazoa; Platyhelminthes; Trematoda; Strigeidida; Schistosomatidae
Source: Rfam